This 913-nucleotide long non-coding RNA is filed under the name Vigna radiata. RNAcentral describes it as "long non-coding RNA (VRAD_LNC018377)". Lineage: Eukaryota; Viridiplantae; Streptophyta; Magnoliopsida; Fabales; Fabaceae. The record is from RNAcentral.
GUUCGGUUGAUUAGGAAUCUUAGCCAUGAGUUUGUCCUCAUCCAUAUGACAAUGGCCCUAAAGCCCAUGUUGUUUAUUGAUAGCCUAUGUAUGAGGCCAGCCAGAACCAAGGAGGAAAUAAGGGAGAUGGUAGCAAAGUCUAUAUGGAUGGAGGAUAUGAGGGAUUUUCACAAGCUUCACAUGCAAUAUGAGGCUUCUACGAGAGAGAAGAAGGAAGGCAAGAAGAGGGUCUAUGGUGAAGGCAAGAUGGAUGAGUCUCGGUCGAAGGACUUACCUGAGCAACGUUUCCACUAAUUCACCUUGGAGUGAUGUCCCACAAACUGGCCAUAUUCAAAGAGGCCCAUCUUGACAAAUUGGCAAGUGUACCAAAUCGUACAAGUAAUAUAAAUGGUAAGACCAAGUAUCGUUUUCCCAAGAGACUCGUGUGGCUUUCUCGUUCGCGUGAAUUAAAAUAAUAAGGCUUGAAAAAUAAAAAUUAAUAAAUUGGAUUUGAGAACAAAAAUAUUAACAUGCAAAAAUAAAGUUGAUUCAAUUGACAAACGAAAACAAUGGAUGAAUGGAUGUUGUUGGGGGUUACAAUUUCAUCUAUUCCGCUCUCUCUUACAUACUACCCUUGAAUAUUAGUUUGAUUAAUUGUUAUGCAACUUUCUUAGCCUCCCCUUAACCCGAUCCCUUGGCGAAAAGGGCCUAAUAUUAACUACUGGCUUGUUAUCCCUAGCCUCCCCUAGUAAUUAAUACCGCAUUAUAAACAGAAGUUAGCACAAUUGAUCGUUCUACCCCUAUCCCUAGGUGGUAUUGCAAAAUCAAGAGAUUACUCACCAGUUCAUGUCAUUACUGUACGUCCCCAUAUCAAUAAAGACAAACAUCAAUAUAUUGAAUGAGUUAAACGAUAAUGGCCUUAAGCACAGAUGAU